GCGCCCGUAGCUCAGCGGAUAGAGCAAUUGACUACGGAUCAAUAGGCCGGGGGUUCAAAUCCCUCCGGGCGCACCG
Molecule: transfer RNA, 76 nt
Filed under: Glaciihabitans arcticus
Lineage: Bacteria; Bacillati; Actinomycetota; Actinomycetes; Micrococcales; Microbacteriaceae
Description: tRNA-Arg
Rfam family: tRNA
About the family: Transfer RNA (tRNA) molecules are approximately 80 nucleotides in length.
Source: RNAcentral